This 26-nucleotide small RNA is filed under the name Bombyx mori (domestic silkworm). RNAcentral's name for it is "ovarian small RNA-9209". Lineage: Eukaryota; Metazoa; Arthropoda; Insecta; Lepidoptera; Bombycidae. The record is from RNAcentral.
UGUUGAUCGCUACAUGCAGUCUUAAU